GGCAGACGGGUGAGUAACGCGUGGGAACCUACCUUUAGGUACGGAACAACAGUUGGAAACGACUGCUAAUACCGUAUGUGCCCUAUGCGGGAAAGAUUUAUCGCCUAAGCAUGGGCCCGCGUUGGAUUAGCUAGAUGGUGGGGUAAAGGCCUACCAAGGCGACGAUCCAUAGCUGGUCUGAGAGGAUGAUCAGCCACACUGGGACUGAGACACGGCCCAGACUCCUACGGGAGGCAGCAGUGGGGAAUAUUGGACAAUGGGCGCAAGCCUGAUCCACCCAUGCCGCGUGAGUGAUGAAGGCCCUAGGGUUGUAAAGCUCUUUCAGCGAGGAGGAUAAUGACGUUACUCGCAGAAGAAGCCCCGGCUAACUUCGUGCCAGCAGCCGCGGUAAUACGAAGGGGGCUAGCGUUGUUCGGAAUCACUGGGCGUAAAGCGCACCUAGGCGGACUUUUAAGUCAGGGCUGAAAUCCCGGGGCUCAACCCCGGAACUGCCUUUGAUACUGGAAGUCUUGAGUCCGAGAGAGGUGAGUGGAACUCCGAGUGUAGAGGUCAAAUUCGUAGAUAUUCGGAAGAACACCAGUGGCGAAGCCGGCUCA
This 596-nucleotide ribosomal RNA is filed under the name uncultured bacterium. RNAcentral describes it as "bacterial SSU rRNA". It matches the Rfam family "Bacterial small subunit ribosomal RNA", at positions 97 to 728 of the family's 1533-position model. The record is from RNAcentral.